Molecule: ribosomal RNA, 468 nt
Filed under: uncultured bacterium
Lineage: Bacteria
Description: partial 16S ribosomal RNA
Rfam family: Bacterial small subunit ribosomal RNA
Source: RNAcentral
GACGAACGCUGGCGGCGUGCUUAACACAUGCAAGUCGAACGGAAAGGCCCUGCUUUUGUGGGGUGCUCGAGUGGCGAACGGGUGAGUAACACGUGAGUAACCUGCCCUUGACUUUGGGAUAACUUCAGGAAACUGGGGCUAAUACCGGAUAGGAGCUCCUGCUGCAUGGUGGUGGUUGGAAAGUUUCGGCGGUUGGGGAUGGACUCGCGGCUUAUCAGCUUGUUGGUGGGGUAGUGGCUUACCAAGGCUUUGACGGGUAGCCGGCCUGAGAGGGUGACCGGCCACAUUGGGACUGAGAUACGGCCCAGACUCCUACGGGAGGCAGCAGUGGGGAAUAUUGCACAAUGGGCGGAAGCCUGAUGCAGCAACGCCGCGUGCGGGAUGACGGCCUUUGGGUUGUAAACCGCUUUCGCCUGUGACGAAGCGUGAGUGACGGUAAUGGGUAAAGAAGCACCGGCUAACUACGUG